This 468-nucleotide ribosomal RNA is filed under the name uncultured bacterium. RNAcentral describes it as "partial 16S ribosomal RNA". It matches the Rfam family "Bacterial small subunit ribosomal RNA", at positions 28 to 506 of the family's 1533-position model. The record is from RNAcentral.
GACGAACGCUGGCGGCGUGCUUAACACAUGCAAGUCGAACGGAAAGGCCCUGCUUGCAGGGUGCUCGAGUGGCGAACGGGUGAGUAACACGUGGGUGAUCUGCCCCUUACUUUGGGAUAAGCCUGGGAAACUGGGUCUAAUACUGGAUAGGACCAUGCUGUAGGUGGUGUGGUGGAAAGAUUAGUUUCGGUAAGGGAUGAGCUCGCGGCCUAUCAGCUUGUUGGUGGGGUAAUGGCCUACCAAGGCGUCGACGGGUAGCCGGCCUGAGAGGGUGGACGGCCACAUUGGGACGGGGAUACGGCCCAGACUCCUAGGGGGGGAAGCAGUGGGGAAUAUUGCAAAAGGGGCGAAACCCUGAUGGAGCGACGCCGGGGGGGGGAUGACGGCCUUCGGGUUGUAAACCCCUUUCAGCCAUGACAAAGCCCUUGGGGUGACGGUAGGGGUAGAAGAAGCACCGGCUAACUACGU